GCAACCUAAAAUACCUUGGUUUUUUGAGUGAGUUUUUUUUUAGCUGCUGUUAAAAUAAUAGGUGACAGGAACAAUUUUAGGAGGAAAAGUUUAUUCAGGGGCUCACGAUUUCAGAGGCCUCAGUCCAUUGUUAGACAGAUUCAUUCCUCGGAGCUUGAGGUGAGCAGUACACUGUGUGCAAGUGUGUGGCAGAGGGAAGCAGCUCACAGGAUGAUCAGGAAACAGAGAAUGAUUACAUACAAAAUAUACACCCAAACAUAGACCCCACAGGGACUCACCUCCUCCAUCCACAGCCUGCCCGCCUAUAGUUACCACUCAGUUACCCAUCAGGGAUUAAUUCACUGAUUGGGUUAAGACACUCAUAACCCAAUCAUUUCUUUCUUUUUACGUUAAAGAAAUAAUAAUUUUAUUUCAAAAAUACAAAAACCUUAUACUCAAAAAAAUCAGAUUCAUUCUAACACAUUGUAUUCUCAAAAACUUGUACCAUGAGAGAUAAACCCAACCUCUUUAUAUUUUAGAUCUCUAUAAGAGAAAAUAAAUGGGCUCCAUGUUGUUGUUAUUGUUGUUUUUCCAAUACUGGGAAUUAACCCAGGGGUGUUUUACCCAUGAGCUAUAGCCCCAGUUCUUCUAAUUAAAAAAAAAAUUGCUCUUUUUAGUUAUACAUGACAGUAG
RNAcentral lists this long non-coding RNA (672 nucleotides) under Marmota monax (woodchuck). The record is from RNAcentral. Lineage: Eukaryota; Metazoa; Chordata; Mammalia; Rodentia; Sciuridae.